Molecule: non-coding RNA, 4226 nt
Organism: Pelodiscus sinensis (Chinese soft-shelled turtle)
Lineage: Eukaryota; Metazoa; Chordata; Testudines; Trionychidae
Source: RefSeq, a predicted model, not a curated record
GGAAGCAUUUUGUCUCUUGUUUAAUCUGUUUCUCACCUUUCCAUAGUGAAAGAUAAUAGCAUAACUAUAAAUGUUGGCAUAUGGUCCAGUUUAUUUUAUGGUGUCAAACAUACGUUUAAAUAUUGUAUAUGUUUUAGUUAUUUAUCUGAUAACUUGCAAACACAUAAAGAACUAACUUUCAAUCAAAAGAACACAUUUGAAAAUAUUUCCUUCAUUUCUUCCUUUGUCUUCUCUUCUCCAUCCAACCCCAUUUUUCUUGUCUCAGAUUUUUUCCCCAAACCCUUUCAUAUCAUCUCCUCAGAGUUACUGUGCUAACUGGCAGCCACUGAGAAACAGUAACAAGUAACAUAUCAGUGUAGUCCUACAUCUGUGAUUUCACUUGUCCUCUUAAUGGACAAGUGUUACUCACAUAACCACACUGUCUGUCUUAGGAACUUCACACACAGCUUAAACUCUGACCUGGAAAAAUGCUGCUCUGCACAAUUUCAGUUUUAUAAUAAAACAAUCUUCCACACUGUCCCGUAUGCAUGGAAUGCCCUCCCUGAACUGAUCCAAAAGGCCACUACUUUCUUUUUAUUUAAAUCUCUCCUUGAGAUCUACAUCUGCUGGGAUUUCUAAAUAGCAGCCAUCCACUUAAUAACGGCUAGGUGGUAGGGCAGAUUGGCCUUUUAUAUUUUGCCAUAAUGUAAAUAUAUUUAUGUAUAUACAAGUUUGCUUGUAUUUAGCUGUAUCCUCCUUUUCUCACCCUUUGUAUAUCACUUGCCUUCCUAUAUUGUAAGCUGCUCUUGGGCAGGGACUGUCUCUUUACAUGUUCGUAUAGCUCCUUGCCCAAGAGAGGGCCUGAGUCCUUACUGAGCCUCUGCAUGAUAUUUUAGUAUAAUUAUAAUCAGUGGCAGAAAGCUAAGAUUGCUGAUAGGGAAGAUAAUUUCUAGGUAACACAUUUCUUCUGUAUCUUGUUAGGAUAAUACAGAAUAAAUUAGUUGUGUUUUCUUCCAUUUUGCUUUAAAAAAAAAUCUUUUCUGACCUCCCCUUACAUUGGAACAGUUUUCUGCUGCUAGCAAGAUCAACUAAUGGUACAUUUAUUGCUCAGGGCAAGAUUACUUAGAAACUGUCUCUUCAAAAUAGAAUACACCAAUAGUAGUUUUUUUGACAUAAGAUUUUUAUAGCAAAUAUAGAUAUGUAUAUAUUUAUAGCUGUAUAUGCAUAACAAAAAAUUAUAUUAGCUUUCAUAGGGUAAUUCAAUACAAUUAAUGUUUCCUAGUUGAAGGUGAGAGGAAGGGGACUUUUUUGUGUGUGUGUGCUUAUUUUCUGUUUGGUUGAGAGGAAUGGUAUAGAUUGUUGGUGGUUCUCUCCAGAUAGGGGAUUCUAGUUAGAUACAUAAGUAAUAAAAACUUUGUCAUGCAUCCUCAUAGAAAAAAAUUACCUAGGCAUUAUUCUAGCUUCUACUCAAGUUCUGAUGUCACUGACCAUUGAAACCUCAACAAAUACUAAGUUUGCUGCAUUGACAUUUUUCUGCUCACCACAACUGCCCACCAAAGAGGGACAGCAUUAAAUUUCAAAACACACUUUUUUAAAAGUAAGAAUCCUUUUCUUUUGUUAUUGGCAAGUAAAGAAUUAUUAAAUGUGAGAGACAGCAGUCGUAUCCCAACAAAUCUCUUUGUUGCAACAUCAUGUUAUAAAACUACAGCUAUUGUGUGUGCAAGUGUCCCCAUCAGUCUUAGGGAAGAUAAAAUAAAAAUUUUAUGCAUUAAAUUAAAGUAAGUAAAGAUGUUAAAUUCAAAUAGUGGAUUCAUUUUAAGUUACGGUGUAUAUGUAAAAAAAAUACACUUAAUUGACCAUGUGGAAAGAAAAUCUUCAAAAUACUGUGUUUCAUUUAUUAGUCUCAUGACAAAAAAAAAAAUAAAUAUCCGUUUAAAAAGUCAUCUUUCCAAGCUGCUAAUCAAAUUACUUUGAACUGAGUGAUUUGUUUCUCCCACCAUAAUUUACAGCAUAAUUUUAUUUCAGUAGUUGGACAUAUUAAAUUUAUAUGUAAAAAGUAUUAAGAGAAUCUUGAAUGUAAUUAAAAACAAGUAGGAUGAACUCAUCUGGCUUGUGAAAAGUUGCUUUUAAUUUUUUGUCUUUGAUUUGGUUAUGAUACAUAUUCUACAUUCAAAGGUCUCAUGAUUUUUCUAGCAAGGAAUGGAUUUGAUUUAUCAAGCACCUUUAGAUUUUGUUUUUUCUAGGGCCUUAGCAGAAAACAGCAACGAUUAGCUGUUUUAGUGAAGUAGAGAACUUUAAAAGGUCAAGAGAGAAACUAAAGAAAUGGAGAACACAAAUAUAAUUCCAUUUUUUCUGAGCCUACCAAAGACUGUAAUAAAACAAAGUAUGGAUUAGAUGAGUGGAAAAUAAAUUUGGAUCCCAAAAUACUGGGUUAGUGAUGGCUGGAAAGUUUUGGAUGGUGUCCUCCUUGGGUAUCCUUUUUGUAUCGCGUUCAAAAAGAAAAAUCUACUUAUCCUAUUGGGUUUAAGGUAUAAAUAUCAAACAUAGAUGUAGAAAUCGCUCAGAUUAGAUGCUGGUACAAUCUUGCAGGUAUAUAAUAAUCUGCAGCACAGAGGUCUAUUCUGUAUCUGGCAUCAAGUAAUAGUACAGUAUUUAUUUAGGAAAAAAUCAGUUAAUAGCAUUCAAAAUGAAUAUUAUUGGCUCUGUCAUCCAACAAACAUUCAUACUCCAUCCCAUUCCUGUUGCCCAUUGUUUCAAAGGUGGCAUGGCUUAAUGACAUCUGAAACAAUGAAUUCACAGAGCAAAUACAUGUGUGAAUGCUAUAAUAUAAAGGUUGAAACAAAAAAAGAUACUCUGUGUUUGAUGAAAUCAUGCACAGAAGGCACAGGAUUCAGAAACCAUUUUGUUUCAACAUGGUGAAAUAAUGAUCGAGCUAUAUCUGCAGAAAUAAAAUAGCAACAACACUACUUCUGCAACUCCCUUUAACUUCUGCUACCAACAGUGGUUGUAAAUAGGAAGAAGGUUUUCCAGAGACUCUAUUGAAAGAAAAGAAAAAAAGGCACUGGAGCUCCAGGUUUACUGAAGAGUACCUCUAGAAUGCUCUUAACAGCAAGUGAAAGAGGUUUCCUCACCAUCCAAAUAAGACAACCGUGAGGGAGAAACUGGAAAACAAAUUGAACAGGGGGAUGAACAACUGUCUCCCUCAUCUCACCAAACAAACAAAAAAUAGCCCUUUUUUUUCUUGCCAUUUCCCUUCUGUAAUAGUUCAUUAUUCCAUGUUUAUUAACUUCUUUAAAAAAAAUAAAAUAAAUGUUUUUGCUAUCUUGUGGUGGUUUGCUUUUUCUUUCCUUGGUAUGAAAAGAGAGCACAUGUCUCACGGAAAAUGACUGCAAAAAUAACUACUUUUUUUGUCAUAUUUUUUUUCUUUUUCUUUUUUUCCUAUGAGAGCCCAGUUUUCAAAUGCUUUCUCUUAAACAGGAUAUUCAAAUACCAUUUUCUGUUCUCAGUCCUUAAAAUCCCACCUGGUUUGCAGGAUGUGAAUUUUUUUUUUUUUUAUUUUCUGUUCUUGUUUUUGUUUUGCAUACAGGAUUUCAGUACACACUGACCAUUCCUCUUACAAGGCAGGAAACUCCUUGUAAGGUAGGUUGAAUUUUAAGACGUUGGGCACAUUUUAAAUGCCUCUGCUUACUUGUUUUUGGACCUACUGUUGAAGAGAUGGUGUUUGAAAAUUGGGCCUAUAAGAAUUUUAACAUACCAAAAAUAGCACUUGUUCAUGUCUGCCUCUCUUAGAAUUUUCUUAUAAGGGUCUGAUAUGUUCCUAAUAUGCAAACAUGAUCUAUAUGCACUGCAGUGAAAACACUGAGUCACAACUGAACAUAUAAGCUUUCUGGGACAAAUAACCUAGAUUCUUCUUUCGUGUGAAUAGAUAAAUGCCAAAUGCUCUUGUGAAUCAUGUUUUGAUAUUUAUAGGUAUUAAGGUGAUUGAUUUAUGUGUUUAAUUGAUCUAUUGUUACCAGCAACCAGUUUUUAUGUUCUAAUAGCUUAUUUUUAGAUAUUCUUUCUCUUUCUUGGUCUUCCAUGUAAGGUAUCCCAAACCACAUAAAGUGUAUUUCUCGCCAAUUUUCUUAAAAGGAAACCUUUUUUUAAAUGGUUUGUUUUUACUUUCAUGCUGUUCAGAAAUUGUAGCUUAUUCAGAACGAUGUUGUAAAAGCCCAGAUUACUUUCUCCUUUUCAUACCCACUGAAGUU